UGGUGGUGGUGGUGGUGGUGGUGGUGGUGGAGGUGUUUGUGAAUCACAACAAGAUAGUUUGCACAUGAUCAUUUUAUAUUUGCAUCUUGGAUAACAAUUAUACCUGGGAUGUGGGCAACGUUUAAGGCAACGGUAAAAUUGUCUUUUACAUCUCAAUAUGCAUGGCGAUGGUAGCGGGGGAGAUGGAGGCGGUGGUGGUAGAGGUGGUAGAGGUGGUGGUGGUGGAGGCGGUGGUGGAAGUGGCGGAGGUAGAGGCGACUGUGCUGGUGGUGGUGGUGGAGGUGGCGGUGGCGGAGGUGGUGGUGGUGGCGGCGGAGGUAGAGGCGACUGUGAUGGUGGCGGUGGUGAAGGUGGCGGAGGUGGCGGUGGUGGAGGUGGUGGAGGUGGUGGAGGUGGCGGCGGUGGCGGUGGAGGUGGUGGAGAUGGUGGUGGAGGCGGCGACCGAAGUGAACCAAAAUAGCAAGUUUUUUUGCAACUGAUGUAUUUACUUUUGCAUUCGAUAUAACAUUUAAAAUCGAAAAUUGGACAAUGUGGAAGACAAACAUAGUAAAAUUCUCUUUUACAAUUCUUUAUGCAUUUAAAUUUAAUAAAACCGUUAACUUCCAAUGAAUUUGGAACUACGGCUGAGCCAGCUGAGGCUUCCAUUAUGAACAUGAAAACCACCGCAAGCAGGAAAAAAAAGGAGAAAACACCUGAUCCAUGAAGAGCCAUGGCCGGCCAGGAAGGGCAAAAUAGGAGAAGUAGAUUUUCCAAGAACAGAUUGGGUUUGAAUUGAUCG
Molecule: long non-coding RNA, 778 nt
Filed under: Zostera marina
Lineage: Eukaryota; Viridiplantae; Streptophyta; Magnoliopsida; Alismatales; Zosteraceae
Description: long non-coding RNA (ZMAR_LNC003800)
Source: RNAcentral